Molecule: ribosomal RNA, 428 nt
Filed under: uncultured bacterium
Lineage: Bacteria
Description: bacterial SSU rRNA
Rfam family: Bacterial small subunit ribosomal RNA
Source: RNAcentral
UGGGGAAUAUUGGACAAUGGGCGAAAGCCUGAUCCAGCAAUACCGCGUGUGUGAAGAAGGCCCUAGGGUUGUAAAGCACUUUCAAUUGGGAGGAAAACCUACCGGUCAAUACCCGGUAGCUUGACAUUACCUUUAGAAGAAGCACCGGCUAACUCCGUGCCAGCAGCCGCGGUAAUACGUAGGGUGCGAGCGUUAAUCGGAAUUACUGGGCGUAAAGGGUGUGCAGGCGGGUAUGUAAGUUAGAUGUGAAAUCCACGAGCUCAACUUGUGGCUGGCAUAUAAUACUGCGUACCUAGAGUUUGUCAGAGGGGGGUAGAAUUCCAAGUGUAGCAGUGAAAUGCGUAGAGAUUUGGAGGAAUACCGGUGGCGAAGGCGGCCCCCUGGGAUAGAACUGACGCUCAAACACGAAAGCGUGGGUAGCAAACAGG